This 497-nucleotide ribosomal RNA is filed under the name uncultured bacterium. Its description in RNAcentral is "partial 16S ribosomal RNA". It matches the Rfam family "Bacterial small subunit ribosomal RNA", at positions 28 to 507 of the family's 1533-position model. The record is from RNAcentral.
GAUGAACGCUGGCGGCGUGCCUAAUACAUGCAAGUCGAGCGAACAGAUAAGGAGCUUGCUCCUUUGACGUUAGCGGUGGACGGGUGAGUAACACGUGGAUAACCUACCUAUAAGACUGGGAUAACUUCGGGAAACCGGAGCUAAUACCGGAUAACAUAUUGAACCGCAUGGUUCAAUAGUGAAAGGCGGCUUUGCUGUCACUUAUAGAUGGAUCCGCGCCGUAUUAGCUAGUUGGUAAGGUAACGGCUUACCAAGGCAACGAUACGUAGCCGACCUGAGAGGGUGAUCGGCCACACUGGAACUGAGACACGGUCCAGACUCCUACGGGAGGCAGCAGUAGGGAAUCUUCCGCAAUGGGCGAAAGCCUGACGGAGCAACGCCGCGUGAGUGAUGAAGGUCUUCGGAUCGUAAAACUCUGUUAUCAGGGAAGAACAAAUGUGUAAGUAACUGUGCACAUCUUGACGGUACCUGAUCAGAAAGCCACGGCUAACUACGUG